GUCGAACGAAGCACUUAUCUUUGAUUCUUCGGAUGAAGAGGUUUGCGACUGUUUGGCGGACGGGUGAGUAACGCGUGGGUAACCUGCCUCAUACAGGGGGAUAACAGUUAGAAAUGACUGCUAAUACCGCAUAAGACCACGGAGCCGCAUGGCUCAGUGGGAAAAACUCCGGUGGUAUGAGAUGGACCCGCGUCUGAUUAGGUAGUUGGUGGGGUAACGGCCUACCAAGCCAACGAUCAGUAGCCGACCUGAGAGGGUGACCGGCCACAUUGGGACUGAGACACGGCCCAAACUCCUACGGGAGGCAGCAGUGGGGAAUAUUGCACAAUGGGGGAAACCCUGAUGCAGCGACGCCGCGUGAGCGAAGAAGUAUUUCGGUAUGUAAAGCUCUAUCAGCAGGGAAGAAAAUGACGGUACCUGACUAAGAAGCACCGGCUAAAUACGUGCCAGCAGCCGCGGUAAUACGUAUGGUGCAAGCGUUAUCCGGAUUUACUGGGUGUAAAGGGAGCGUAGACGGCUGUGUAAGUCUGAAGUGAAAGCCCGGGGCUCAACCCCGGGACUGCUUUGGAAACUAUGCAGCUAGAGUGUCGGAGAGGUAAGUGGAAUACCCAGUGUAGCGGUGAAAUGCGUAGAUAUUGGGAGGAACACCAGUGGCGAAGGCGGCUUACUGGACGAUGACUGACGUUGAGGCUCGAAAGCGUGGGGAGC
RNAcentral lists this ribosomal RNA (708 nucleotides) under uncultured bacterium. Its description in RNAcentral is "bacterial SSU rRNA". It matches the Rfam family "Bacterial small subunit ribosomal RNA", at positions 61 to 769 of the family's 1533-position model. The record is from RNAcentral.